CCUACGGGUGGCAGCAGUGAGGAAUAUUGGUCAAUGGCCGGAAGGCUGAACCAGCCAAGCCGCGUGAGGGAGGAAGGCGCAGAGCGUCGCAGACCUCUUUUGCCGGGGGGAAAAAGGCAGGCCGGGUCCGGUUCUGAGGGUACCCGGAGAAUAAGCAUCGGGUAACUCCGUGCCAGCAGCCUCGGUAAUACGGAGGAUGCGAGCGUUAUCCGGUUUCAUUGGGUUUAAAGGGUGCGUAGGCGGGCGGUUAAGUCAGCGGGAAAAGCCAGGGGCUCAACCCCGGCGAGCCGUUGAAACUGGCUGUCUUGAGAUGUCGAGAGGUAUGCGGAAUGCGCAGUGUAGCGGUGAAAUGCUUAGAUAUUGCGCAGAACUCCGAUUGCGAAGGCAGCAUACCGGCGGCGAUCUGACGCUGAGGCACGAAAGCGUGGGUAUCGAACAGGAUUAGAUACCCUUGUAGUC
RNAcentral lists this ribosomal RNA (459 nucleotides) under uncultured bacterium. RNAcentral's name for it is "partial 16S ribosomal RNA". It matches the Rfam family "Bacterial small subunit ribosomal RNA", at positions 338 to 795 of the family's 1533-position model. The record is from RNAcentral.